This 279-nucleotide ribosomal RNA is filed under the name uncultured bacterium. Its description in RNAcentral is "partial 16S ribosomal RNA". It matches the Rfam family "Bacterial small subunit ribosomal RNA", at positions 74 to 354 of the family's 1533-position model. The record is from RNAcentral.
CCUGCACCUGCCGGCGACCGGGCGCACGGGUGAGUAACACGUAUGGAACCUGCCCGCCACAGGGGGAUAACCCGGGGAAACCCGGCCUAAUACCCCAUGCCGCCCGGACCGGGCAUCCGGACCGGGCGAAAGGAGGAAUCCGGUGGCGGCUGGGCAUGCGGCGCAUUAGCUUGACGGCGGGGUAACGGCCCACCGUGGCGACGAUGCGUAGGGGUUCUGAGAGGAAGGCCCCCCACACUGGAACUGAGACACGGUCCAGACUCCUACGGAAGGCAGCAG